UUUAAUCACUACAAAAUUAUCAUUUUUGAUAUUGCUUUUUUGCAUAACUAUAACAAUUCGAUUAUAAUCAUCAAACCGCAGAGAUAUUUGAUAGCAUUUAAUUAG
RNAcentral lists this small RNA (105 nucleotides) under Arabidopsis thaliana (thale cress). RNAcentral's name for it is "ATSL024960". Lineage: Eukaryota; Viridiplantae; Streptophyta; Magnoliopsida; Brassicales; Brassicaceae. The record is from RNAcentral.